RNAcentral lists this long non-coding RNA (213 nucleotides) under Lathyrus oleraceus (garden pea). Its description in RNAcentral is "Pisum sativum (pea) long non-coding RNA (PSAT_LNC000729)". Lineage: Eukaryota; Viridiplantae; Streptophyta; Magnoliopsida; Fabales; Fabaceae. The record is from RNAcentral.
UGCUAACCGCGACAUUGCGAUUACAAAUCCAAUAAGGUCCAGUUCACCGUAUGACAGAACUGGCGACUCUGCUGGGGAAAAUGAAUCCCCAUCUACUGAUUGGAGAUAUUCGUGUUGAGGACCCUCUCUCGGCUGGGGGUUCCGAUUUCUGUCUGAUGGUAGAGAUAUUCAACAGAGCCUGGCUAGGGAUGGAUGAGAUGAUCAAUCUGUCUG